This 116-nucleotide ribosomal RNA is filed under the name Pteropus alecto (black flying fox). Lineage: Eukaryota; Metazoa; Chordata; Mammalia; Chiroptera; Pteropodidae. The record is from RNAcentral.
GUCUGUGGCCAUGCCACCCUGAACAAGCCCGAUGUCUGAUCUCGGAAGCUAAGCAGGGUCGGGACUGGUUAGUACUUGGAUGGGAGACCGCCUAGGAAGACCAGGUGCUGUAGGCA